This 476-nucleotide ribosomal RNA is filed under the name uncultured bacterium. RNAcentral describes it as "bacterial SSU rRNA". It matches the Rfam family "Bacterial small subunit ribosomal RNA", at positions 29 to 479 of the family's 1533-position model. The record is from RNAcentral.
AACUAACGCUGGCGGCGUGCCUAACACAUGCAAGUCGUACGAGAAAGCCGGCUUCGGCUGGUGAGUAAAGUGGCGCACGGGUGAGUAACGCGUGGAUAAUCUGCCCUUAAGUGUGGAAUAACGUACCGAAAGGUGCGCUAAUACCGCAUAAUGCCUGGCAACACAAGUUGUCCGGCCAAAGAAGGCCUCUGUUUACAAGCUUUCGCUUCAGGAUGAGUCCGCGUACCAUUAGCUUGUUGGUGGGGUAAUGGCCUACCAAGGCUGCGAUGGUUAGCUGGUCUGAGAGGAUGAUCAGCCACACUGGAACUGAGACACGGUCCAGACUCCUACGGGAGGCAGCAGUGAGGAAUAUUGCGCAAUGGGGCAACCCUGACGCAGCAACGCCGCGUGAGUGAGGAAGGUUUUCGGACUGUAAAGCUCUGUCGAGGCGGGAAGAAGUGUAACCAUGGCUAAUAUCCAUGAUAUUUGACGGUACG